CCAAUUUAAACUGCAAAUGUGUUUGUAAAGACAUUAUCCUUUUAUCAUUUGCAUGCUAAACUGUUGAAUUUGAUGCAACAUGGGGUAUUCUCAUAGUUUGUUUUCGUAUAUGUAACGUUACAUACGAACUUGGGGCCACGGAAAGCUAGCACGCUAAAAUUAGCUUAGAACCGAAAAGGGACGCAGCUACUUGCAACAUCCCAUCUAGGGAUGCUAUGUUAGCUGUGCGUUGUUGAAUAUAAAACAUGUGAAUAGUCGGGUGAAAAGCACAAUUUCCGUGCAUUAAUCCUGUGAAGUUAAUUUUAGGACCCAUUCUUCUAUUUUUCCGUGAUAGCUUCUGAUGUUGCUAGCUAAAUGGACUUGAUGUAGCCAACAGUUAGCCCUUUAGGCUGGGGGCCUAGAUGUUGAGACUGUGUCUUCGUCCACUGAGCCUAGCACCAGUGUAUUUUUCAAAUUAACAAGUGGUGACUUGGCCUCUCCAAUUACAGAUGCCUACAGUGGUUUUUAGUAAACGGCAGCUCCAGGCUAAAGUGUGUUUCUGAGAGAGAGAGAACUGGCUUCUGGCUUCCAUAACAAUCUUUGUUACUGCAGACAAUUCUAGUGAGAAAUUAUUCAGUUUUUAUUUUUCAGCUGAUUAAGCUCUAAACAGUUAAUUACAGAUUUCAAAGUCAAGCCUGUACUUGCAUAGCCUAGUCAACGUAUGUUAUAGUUCAAAUGGAAUUAAUAAGAGUGACCUCUGUGGGGCUUAUUGACAAACCCUUGUAUAUUUUGGCAGUCAAACUUCUCACCCUUCCCCAUCCUGGUACUGGUGUUUUCAUGCACAAGAUUAUCGAUGGCAGGAAAUCUUUGUUUUGGGGGUUGACAGACUAAACAUGCUCCAUCAUCAGAAGACGUGCUCUGUUGAGAUGAAUAUCAUUUUUUUGUUGUUCCUUCUUUCCAGCUGCUGUGAAGAGAUGGAAUUCCAAGGCCACAGAUACAGAAAUCCAAGUAGCCAUGAGUUUACCCCUGAAACAUGCACCCGCCAGGACUGGGGGGGGGGGGAUCUUGGUCCCAAUAAAGGGACCAAAAAUGAGAUCUAAAUUUUGUUCUUCUUUAAAGAGGAUGUAGGGCCUACUUGGGUAAAAAAACUAAAUAAUGUUUUGUAUAUUGCACUUUAUACCCUGACAUCUGUCUUUUGUUGAAGAGUAUUAAAGGGACUCUCACCUUUGUUGCAUUUUUACACUUUUUUUGGAUAAGGUUAAAUUUGUAUUAAUAAGGUAAUAACACUCUAAUAUGCAAGACAGACCCACCAGGAGUAAAAACAAACAAUUAUUUUACAUAACCCAUGGGAGUCUAAACAUAACCCAUGGGAGUCUAGAACUUUUGUACUACUAGCGACCCUGGGACAGUUAAAUAGUUUGUGUGUUAUGUGUUACAUUAUAUUUCGUUGUCCGUUAUGCCAGUUGUUCUAUGUGCAUGUAUUGUAAUGUUCUUCUUGUCAAUCAGCGUGGGGGCGAAUCAUUAGGUCAGCUGGGGGAGGGCCUUGGAAGAACAGGAGGGUGGGGGCCUGCACGCGAGUGAGACCGUGUUGGGGGUUGCCGGGGUAACCGGGGUUUGUUUUGUGUCGGUUUUCUGCCGUUGGUUACAAUGUUACGGGUUUCAGUGACCUGGUUUUGGUUCAUUAAAACUACCUUCAACUACUAAUGACUCGACAUCAUUAUGUCACCGGCGAGGUCGUUACGGUACUCGUUAAAAAAUAACUCUUAGUUUUGUACUCUAAAAAAUAACGCUUAGGGGGUGGGGCAUUGGAGGAAGGCGGGAUGAUUUGAAUGUGCUGUAAUUCUCAAAUGCAACAAAGGUGAGAGUCCCUUUAAGAUACAUCAUAUAAUUCAGAAUAUGUCUCAUAAUUAUCUGAACAUAUUAAACAAUGUUGUCAACAGUCUAUUUGAUUGGAUUGAGCUGGGCAUGACUAAAUAUGAAUUUGUAAGUUUUGAUUUGCUGCAUUUGCCUACAAUAAAUAGCAUCUAUUAAUCUAAGGGUAGACUACUUGUAAUUGUAGCUGACUUAAACUUAAAAGUCAGCUAAAAUGUAAGUACCCUUAGUUUAAUGUCUGCUAAUAUUGUCAUGCAGCCAAUCAAAAUAUUAAAAAUCUGUUUACAUAAAUGUUAUUAUCAUGCUGGCAAGCAGUAUGGAAUGUUAAUCAUUGCAUUAUCUCAAUUUAUACCAUGGUCUGGGUGAAUACUCGAUUCUGAUUGGCUGGAGGGUGUAGGUUAAAAAGUGUUAAUUUACACCGAGGAAAGACGUUGACCCUAUGAAGACGCUAUGGCCACGUUGCUUGGCCUCACCUGCAUACGGGAGAUAUUAAAUAGUCUGCUUAUUUUAGCUACAGUAGCGCUAGCUGCUAGGCUAGGCUUGUUAUCAGGUUGUUGGGAAAGUGUAGUGGAAGGAAUAUACCUUUCUUGGUAAAAAAAAACUGGGUGACAAACUGUCGACCGCUUUGAGCUCUUUCCUCUCUCUCGUUCCUCCUCUGACAACCUGACUUCUUAAUUUCACCGACCGGGAUACACACAAACUGACUUUAGACUGCUAGUUUAAGACACUAGCAGUCUGCACUUGGUUCACAAUGAUCUGCCUGGCUGCUACUUUGCUCUGCAGUAGCGUAAGACGUGGGCUGUACCAAAUAAUGACAAAUGAGAG
RNAcentral lists this long non-coding RNA (2676 nucleotides) under Gadus morhua (Atlantic cod). RNAcentral describes it as "lncRNA (ENSGMOG00000036524.1)". Lineage: Eukaryota; Metazoa; Chordata; Actinopteri; Gadiformes; Gadidae. The record is from RNAcentral.